UUCUUAUUGGAUGAUGACUGUCAUGUGUCAUGUUUUGAUUGGAUGUUAACUCCAUGAAAGAUAAAAUGCAUUGUUGUUUUCAUUGACCAAUCAAAACAUGACACGUGAUAGUCAUCAUCC
This is a non-coding RNA of Glycine soja, 120 nucleotides long. The record is from Rfam. Lineage: Eukaryota; Viridiplantae; Streptophyta; Magnoliopsida; Fabales; Fabaceae.